AUUGAACGCUGGCGGCAGGCCUAACACAUGCAAGUCGAACGGUAACAGGAAGAAGCUUGUUUCUUUGCUGACGAGUGGCGGACGGGUGAGUAAUGUCUGGGAAACUGCCUGAUGGAGGGGGAUAACUACUGGAAACGGUAGCUAAUACCGCAUAACGUCGCAAGACCAAAGAGGGGGACCUUCGGGCCUCUUGCCAUUGGAUGUGCCCAGAUGGGAUUAGCUAGUAGGUGGGGUAACGGCUCACCUAGGCGACGAUCACUAGCUGGUCUGAGAGGAUGACCAGCCACACUGGAACUGAGACACGGUCCAGACUCCUACGGGAGGCAGCAGUGGGGAAUAUUGCACAAUGGGCGCAAGCCUGAUGCAGCCAUGCCGCGUGUAUGAAGAAGGCCUGCGGGUUGUAAAGUACUUUCAGCGGGGAGGAAGGGAGUAAAGUUAAUACCUUUGCUCAGUGACGGUACCCGCAGAAGAAGCACCGGCUAACUCC
RNAcentral lists this ribosomal RNA (487 nucleotides) under uncultured bacterium. RNAcentral describes it as "partial 16S ribosomal RNA". It matches the Rfam family "Bacterial small subunit ribosomal RNA", at positions 30 to 504 of the family's 1533-position model. The record is from RNAcentral.